GACGAACGCUGGCGGCGUGCUUAACACAUGCAAGUCGUACGGUAAGGCCCUUUCGGGGGUACACGAGUGGCGAACGGGUGAGUAACACGUGAGUAACCUGCCCACAACUUUUGGAUAACGCUAGGAAACUGGUGCUAAUACUGGAUAUGUGCUCCUGCUGCAUGGUGGGGGUUGGAAAGCUCCGGCGGUUGUGGAUGGACUCGCGGCCUAUCAGCUUGUUGGUGGGGUAGGGGCCUACCAAGGCGGGGACGGGUAGCCUGCCUGAGAGGGUGACCGGCCACAUGGGAGCAGAGACAGGGGCAAGAGGACUACGGGAGGGAGCGGUGGGGAAGAGUGCACGAGGGGCGGAAGCCGGAGGGAGAGAGGGCGCGUGGAGGAAGAAGGCCAGCGGGGUGGAAAGUACUGGCAGCGGGGAGGAAGGGAGUAAAGCGAAUACCGGGGCUAAGGGACGGGACACGAAGAAGAAGCACCGGCUAACUCCGGG
Molecule: ribosomal RNA, 484 nt
Filed under: uncultured bacterium
Lineage: Bacteria
Description: partial 16S ribosomal RNA
Rfam family: Bacterial small subunit ribosomal RNA
Source: RNAcentral